Molecule: ribosomal RNA, 695 nt
Filed under: Lulworthia sp.
Lineage: Eukaryota; Fungi; Ascomycota; Sordariomycetes; Lulworthiales; Lulworthiaceae
Description: SSU rRNA
Rfam family: Eukaryotic small subunit ribosomal RNA
Source: RNAcentral
UCACUGGUGAUUCAUGAUAACCUUUCGAAUCGCACGGCCCUGCGCCGGCGAUGGUUCAUUCAAAUUUCUGCCCUAUCAACUUUCGACUUUAGUGUAGUGGACUAAAGUGGUUGCAACGGGUAACGGAGGGUUAGGGCUCGACCCCGGAGAAGGAGCCUGAGAAACGGCUACUACAUCCAAGGAAGGCAGCAGGCGCGCAAAUUACCCAAUCCCGACACGGGGAGGUAGUGACAAUAAAUACUGAUACAGGGCUCUUUCGGGUCUUGUAAUUGGAAUGAGUACAAUUUAAAUCCCUUAACGAGGAACAAUUGGAGGGCAAGUCUGGUGCCAGCAGCCGCGGUAAUUCCAGCUCCAAUAGCGUAUAUUAAAGUUGUUGUGGUUAAAAAGCUCGUAGUUGAACCUGGGCCCCGCGCCCGCCGGUCCGCCUCACCGCGUGCACUGGCGCGGCCGGGGCUUUCACUUGGGGAACCGCAUGCCCUUCGCUGGGCGUGUGCGGAACCAGGACCUUUACUGUGAAAAAAUUAGAGUGUUCAAAGCAGGCCUAUGCUCGAAUACAUUAGCAUGGAAUAAUAGAAUAGGACGCGCGGUUCUAUUUUGUUGGUUAUGGGACCGCCGUAAUGAUUAAUAGGGUCAGUCGGGGGCAUCAGUAUUCAAUAGUCAGAGGUGAAAUUCUUGGAUUUAUUGAAGACUAACUA